CCCAAGUGAAACAUCUAGCUUAAAAGAAGGGAAAGUGAAAAACAAAAACAGCGAAUUGAACACUUGGAAGUAUUGGAAUAAAUACUUAAAAUUCAAAAGCAAAAAUAAUCUAUAAAGUUUAACAAUUAAAACCCAUAAAAAAGUGAGUCGAAAAAUUCCAACGCAUUGGCGGCAUAAUUAUCACAUUCAAAAAGUGCAACGCCAGCUAUUUGGGCAAUGGGCAGCAGGCCCCCUGCCCUCUGCACCGAGCGCGUAAUUUGAUUCCGUUGAUAGGCGUUCGGGCGUAUGAGUCAGAUGCGUUGUCGUCGUAUGAAAAGCCAAAAAACAUAGACAGACACACACACACGUUGUACGUCAUACGCCAUACACCACACAACUGCACAUAGGUACACACACACACAUAUACAGAAUCAUAUAUGUAUGUACAUGUAGAAUCAGCCUUGGCUUGCGGGAUACUUAAACUGUAAUACGCUUGCAUACUCUCGGUACGGAUACGGUCGUGGGCGAAUCAAAGCAAAGGCCAGGCAGAGCCCGGGCCAAGGGGGAAAGUAUAACGCCAGGAAGGGAAGCGUUCAUUCAGUUGCAGAGCCUCGACGAAAGCUGAGCCUAGACCAGACCAGACCAGACCCCUUUUCGCCGUGAAUAACCAAAAACUUUAACUGGCGAAAAGAAAAGCGAACCUCAGCCGCCAAAAGUUCAGCAAAAAGCUUUCACCUGUUAUAAAUGUGAAAAUAGCCCCCAAUUGGCUAAUGAAGUUCCAUUAAUGCAAUAUUCAAAUGUAAAGCUCUGGCGUAACAAACAACACGUGGAUUCGGACAAAAUCGCUUGGCCCAAAAAUGCAUCUCGCAAUAAAUCAAUCAAUGAACAUUUUAAAAUCAAGGGAAUAACAUUCAAUUUUAAAAUAAACAAAAAAAACAUGUGCAGCAAACGAAUAAAUUAGGAAAAGGAAAAUUAAAAAUUCUACCAAUUUAAAACAUUUUUCACAGUGGGUGCUCGUCCCAAUGCAAAAAAAUAUAUAUAUGUGUGUACCUACAUUUAUAUACGGGAUAUAAAAAGCAAAGCAACAAGUAUUUAUGAAAAAAGUUUAAAUAAAUAGAAAUUCAAAUAAUAUAAUAUCAAGGAAUAAUUAAUGGCGCUUACCCAAAAAAUUCAAAUAAGUAGACAUUAAAGAAAAAUGUAAGAAAAAGCCAAAAAAUAUCUAAAAAACAAGUUUCAAUACUUAAAAAUCAUUGGGAAAAGUUCAAAAACUGUCCAACGAUGCCAUCGUCGGCAAAAAAGACCACCUCGAUAUAUGUGAAGACCUUUAAGCACACCAAAAAAUCAAAACUCAACAACAUAUUUGAUCCAAAACUUAAUAAUCAUUUCAAAUGGAAGCUAUACAAAUUGCUGAUUAAAAAACUAAAAAAGUGAGUAAUAUUUUAGGAAGCUAGAAGCUUUCCCAAGCAGCACCAAAUUGCACCUCCCACAUACACCCAUCAACAAAUUGUGAAGUAAAGUGAACAUCAGCUCCUGAAACCACAAUUCGAAAUUACAGACGACAGCAGCAGAAACCGAAAAGGAGGGCGGAGGGGGGCCCUCCCACAUGCUGCAACAUUGCCGAGCAUGGGAUGGCCCCCAGCGCUGGGUCUGCGAGGGAUUUGUAACCAUAGUUACCGCAAGUACACAAUGCACCCGCCUCAAAAAAGAUACAAUGUUAUUCCUUCCCGCUCCAUUCAUUCAAAUCAAAUUAAUCUACCUUAGUGUGUGUCUAUUUAGGAUUCUAUGGAAGUUAUCUUUAUAUGUGCGAGGUAAUGCUAGUAUUACAAGUUUCAGUCUCAUAUCAAAUGCAUUUCGGCUAGGCAUAGGUCAUAUAUACAUACAUACUUAUGGUACUAUAUAUAUUUAAUUGCGUUUUGCAAAAGCUCCGCUGAAUGUUGAUAUCCGAUGUUGUUUAUCCGAUUACCACUAUUAUAUUUGCAAAUAUGUACAUAUAUUUGUGGUUAUGCUACUAGCCAACAGGUGUGCACAUUUAGCACAUAUGUAUAUUAUUUAUGCCGUAAUUAAGUAACUUAAUACCUUCUUCCCUUCAAUAUUGAUUUUGCUUAAAGUCUUUGCACUGCUGUUUGUAUUCGAGUAUACCCAAGCAUUUAAGCCAUUAAUUAUAUAAACAUAAACGCCAAAGCUUAUGGCUUAUGCUAUUAUAUUAAGGACAUAUUUAUGCAUGUUUUUUCUACCUUUGCUUAUCUACCUUAAAUACUAUAUAUUCAUAUUAUUUGGUAAUUUAUUUAAAUCUUAUUCCCUCGCUUUAAAAAACUUCUAGUAAAUAUCUAUAUAUCUACACCUUCAAUUUUUUUGUAAAAUAAUUAUCUCUUAUAAGUAUUUUAUGCUUAUUUGAAAUAUUUCAUCUACGAGUACCUAAACUAGUCCUUGCUAGAGAUUUUCUCAAAAUUUUGUACAUACCGACACAUAAGGGUGCAUUUUACGCUUAAUAUAGUAUACGACAGCCUCUCAUAUUACACAUACGUAUUACACAUUACUCAUAAGCAUGUUUCUCUAUAUGUAAAUAACAUUUCGCAUGUUCGAUUUAAGAGCCAAUAAGUAUGAUGAAUUAAUUUAGUUUGGUUUAAAAAAUUAAGUCUUUCCGAAAAUCAACUAUUCAGCGAGGAUAAUAUCACAGAAUUAUCACAAAAUCAUCACAGAAUUAUCAUUGAAUUUCCUCUAAAUAAAAAUCUUUCUAUAAUUCCAUUAUCCUGCACAGAUAAUAUCAAAUAAUAUUAUUUGGCAAACGUGGAGGUUUUCUUUUUUAGCUUGAUUGCGAGGAUUUACGGAAUGCAAAGUACGAUGCCUUUAGUGGCACUUCAGUUUUAAUUAGGACUAGCCCUGCGAGUGUUGAUUGGAUGGGAUGAUUCGAGUAUCACUCAAGGAGGAUAAUUCCUAAAAUUAAAGACACAUUCCAUGCCAUGAACUUAAAGUAAAGCAUAUUCAUCUCAAGCGGGAUUAUGUGAGAUUAAUCACUCAAUUCAAUUUUGUUUAUUACAAAAACUUAAAUAUUCAAUUCUUUGACAAAUUUUGCUGACAAUUUGAUCCCUUAUAUACAUACAUACAUGGAGGGCAUUUCUGAUAAAUUGAUGAAUAGGCCGAAAAUGAGUUCUUCAUUUUAGUUCAAAAUCAAACGAUCGUGGUGUAUUUGUGCGAAAUGAGAGUCCAAAAAUAGUGCUGGAUUCUCAUGCUCCUCGAUAAGGUCAAAUGUCCCCAACAUGGCGAUGGCCACAUAAGCGAGUUCCGUAUAACCACCCCCCACCAUCCGCCUAUAAACGGAGAUUAUUUCCUCCUUUAUGUGAUGUAUUAUGCGAUCCACCAGGAAGUGGGAAGCGCCUGUGUACAUAAUGCGUAAUGCGGCAAGGGCUAGUGCGAGAGCCAUUUUCGAGAGCAGAGCUUGAGCUGACUUUUUGUCUGUGGUUUCUCCGUGUUUUGAUUUAUUUUUGAUACUUGCUUCAAGUAGUCGCUUGAGUACCAGAAAGUUGUGUGUACAUUCCCAAAAAAUGAUUCCGAAUAAUGUUGCGAGCUGCUCAAAUGGUUUGACAAUGAAUGCCCAGAUCUUACUUUAAAUAUUGCACGAUUUCUAUCUAUUUUAUUUGGGAGCAUAUGUAGGUCUUGGGGCAGUUGGAUUUUGAGGGACAAUGACAGAUAGUGUUGGGGUUUGAGAUGGAGAGUAGAAUGGCACCUUUCAGCUAAAGUAAAGGCUUUCGUUCGACGGCUGCCAUUUUUCUCCCGUCUCUGACUUCAACGCCUAUCUCUGUCAGUGUUCUCCAGUCUCCAACUGCCUGCAGGACUUGUGGAUCUGUUCGACAAAUUUUUCCCUCUUUUUUACUGGCAUCAAAUAAAUUUUCACUGAUCGAAAAUGGGGCUCAACAAUUUUUAGUUCAGAGGUAAGCGAGCCUUUUUCCAUACAACUCGAAUAUGCUAAACUUUGUUUUAAAGCACUUUGCAGUUCUGAAAAGCUUGUAAAUGCAACUAUCAAUCGGUUUAAAAAACUUUAUGGCUCCAGCUUACCGUCUGGGAAAUAUUCAGAUUUCAAAUGCAGACAGCAUGUUUUAGCUAUAAGGUUUUUGAAGCCCAUCGAUAGCUGCAUUUGUUUGCCUUUCAGAACUGCAAGGUCCUUCACAACAAAGUAUAGCAUACUAGAGUUGUAUGGAAAAAGGUAAGCUUAACUCUGAUGGUAAUUCUUGAAAGAAACUCCUUAACUAUAUACAAAAAAUGCUUCAAACUUCACGUAUUCAUUGGUUUUUGGUUGGAGCAUGAGUCAUGUAGCCGUCUAGAUUCUGAUGAACAUUCACAGUUAGUAUUGGAGUUAGAGAUGGAGAGAAGAAUCCCAGCACGUAGCCAAAGAAAUUGCUUUCGUUAUCGACUGGUAUUUUACUCUUCGCAUCUAACCCCAACACUGCCUGUCACUGUUCCUCUGUAUCUAGGCGUCUCCAGGACUGAUGCUCCAAUCAAAUAUGUACAUUAGGGUUCCGUUUAUUUAUAAAAUUUUAAUUUUCAAAGGUCUCAGCGUCUAAAAAUGUUCCUUUUGUUAUAAAACAAUACAAUAUAAAGUUUCAGUCUGAUUCGACAUCGUUUAGAGGUGGCGACUUAAGAUCAAAGUUCAAAAAUACGAUAUUUGACCAAUGGUUCCUAUGGAAGCUAUACUAUAUAUUGCUCUGAUCGGAUUAAAUUUUUUUUGUGACUUAGAACAAUAAAAUAUAGUCCAGCCCCCAAAAUUUCAGCCCGAUUGGUAAACAUUUAAGCCAACAAUAACAAUAACAUUUUGUAUUAUAUUAACGCAUUUUAAUUAUUCAAUGGAUGUUGACAAUCAUAUUCUUUUGCGACCUUUAGAAACUUCUAAAACUCAUCUUCUUUUUUGGUUAGUAUUUGGUUUUAGUCUUGCAUAACAUGUUUAACAGAAAGUUCGAUUGUAUUAUUAACCACUUUUAAAUUUUUUAACAUUUUUAAAGCAUUUUUAAAGCAUUUUUAAAGCAUUUUUAAAAUCCUCAUGUCUAUGCCAUUCUGAAGGGUUGUCAGUUAACAAAUCUUUGGCAAUAUAAAGGUGAUCAAAAAACUUAGAAAAAUUAUAUAUAUUUAAGGUAUAAAUCGCCUUAGACAUCCAGCGAGUAUGGUGCAUUGAUCCAAGAAGUCGGAAACGAUGACCUUUCCGAACCGAUCCCAAAAAAAUUAGAGUUAGCUCCAGCAAUAUAAAAGGUUUCGGUCUAAUAGUUGCUCUAGACGGAAUGCAGCGCCAUUAAGUCAUCCAGAAUUGGAUGCAGUUGUUUCAAAACAGGCUGCUUUGAUUUUACAAACUAUUCCCCAUUCGGUCAACAAACUAAAAGUUGCGUGUGGAAUUUUCACUCUUGUAGAUGCACUUAUUUUUGGCACUCCUAGAAGUUUGUCGCCCUCCAUAUGUGAAAUAAUGAUUGACAAUCGUUCGACUUUGCAGUGCCCAGUCAGUUCAGGAAGCAUUUUAGCAUCCCAAUGGUACGUAAAAAAAUGUAUAAAAUAUGCUAAUAAUCUUACUGCCGGCAUUAAAUGAAACGAUUCAAUUAGCAUCAUCGACAUGGCAUCUGCCUGUGCAAUAUUGGACAAAUACACUGCACGUGUAAUUUGCACAUCAGUAUGAGAAGUUAAAUGUUAACUAUUUUUAUUGGGUUAAAUGUUAACCUUUCGGGCUGAAAUUUUGGGGCCUGGAUUAUAUUUUUAUGUUCCAAGUCACAAACAAAAUUUAAUCCGAUCAGAGCAAAAUAAGGUAUAGCUGCCAUAGGAUCCAUUGGCCAAAUAUCGAAUUUUUGAACUUUGAUCUUAAGUCGCCACCAUUAAACGUUGUCGAAUCAGACUGAAACUUUUUAUUUUAUUGUUUUAUAACAAAAGGAACAUUUUUAGACCCUGAGACUUUUGAUUCCGACACAUUUUUUUUCGCCCAUACAAAUAAGCGCAAGCCUAAUGUACAUACAUAUAUGGGUAACGAUCCAAUCUGAUCGAUUUGCGUUUUCAGCCAAAACGUUUCGGUUUCGUUUUUAGGUUUUUACAAAUUUUUGUCGAAUGUGCUCAUGUACUGUUAGGCGCACAAUUUAGUGCUGUUAAGCGCACAAUUUGGCGAUUUUGACGCACAAAAUCCUCUGCUAUGAUGUCAGUUGAUAGCGUCAGCUGUUAGCACGAAAACGCAAAGUGCUGUUGCCAUGACACAGGACCAAAUUGGAGGUUGGUUAAAAAAAAUGAUUUAUAAAGAAGGCACAAGUAAAAAAGCCGAUUCCGUAUGAAAACGGGAAAAACUUACGUUUUUGUGAAAACGGGAUCGACAAUUGGCUCGUUUUCAAAAGUAAGUCGGAAAUUUUUGGCGAAAGUGAAAGCCGGACACUGCCUGAUUGCAUAUUGAUUGAUUGAGACUUAAGUCAUGGGAACAGAUUCUGGGCAGCACUGGCAGAUAUUGUUUGAGUUUGAGGUGGAAAGCAGGGCUCCACCAUUCGACAAAAGCGUGAACGCUUUCGUUGUUUGAUGGAACUUUACUUUCCUCUUUUGACUUGAACACUAACUGUGCGUGUUGUUCAGAAUCUUGACUCCUUUAAGGAUUUGUGCUCUCAAUCAGUAUACGUAUUGGCAUUGAUGUUGGUAUUGAUGUUGGUAUUGGUUGGAGCAUAAGUCAAUGGGGGUAUUAGAGCCCGAUAAGCAAUCGUAGUCAAUGAUGGAUGUAGGUGUAGAGAGAAAGGGCGCACCAGGCAACAAAAGAGAUUGCCUUUCGUUGUCUGCUGGAACUUUACUCUCUGCCUCUAUUUUCAUGACUGACUAUGAGUGUUUCUCAGACUCCAACAGUCCUGCGGCUUAUUCUCCCACCAAUACCCGGCUUUUGAUCGUGCUCUGGUAUACAUACAUUGGAUGGUUUUCAAAACCACAGACAGACUUCCUCCGAGUAUGGGCUAUGGGUUUAGUAACUAUAUAUCGUACAAUCCUUUCUUAAUUCAUAUAGCAUCUGGGCUUCAAUAUUCUACGCUCUUCUUUUUCGUAGAACUUUGUUUGUUUCCUAAGAAGUUAGUCGGCCAUCAAGUACUACGAAAAAAAAUUACAGGAGAAGAGCGUAAAGCAUUGAAGUUCAGAUGGGGACCAAAUUGAAGGAAAACCUAUACGUUUUGCUUAAUCUUAUCUUAAAUUAUAGAGGUUUAUUAUAUUAUAUUAUUUUUACCUAUUCUAUACUCUAUUAUCUCCUUGCACUCUUGGAUAAAAUGUUUUUUUUGGUGUAGAAUGGCAACUAGGCGCAGCUUGGUGUUUAUAUUUUAUAUAAAGUAUAUACAUAUUGUAAAUUCAACUUACAAAUGCAUCUAGAAUGAGCUCACAACAGAGGCAAUUUUCAAGCUCAAUAGCUAUAUUAAGUUAAGAUUUACUCUUCGAACAAACCGCAUUGGAAGGACAUGAGUUGACUUUGCUCUCAAAGAACCAAGUGUCAUUAUGAAGAAUUUUACAUGAACCGGCGCAAGAGAUUGUCCGAAAUUAAUCAUUUUUGUUAAGUUGGGAUAGCGUAUACCAUCCUGGAUAAAUGUCGCUUCCCAUCGAGUACCCACAUUACUUGCUCAAACCAUUAACAGGGGAAGGACACCUUAUAGUUACAAAAUGCAUAUAUUUCAUUUAAUACAAGGUGAAGGGUAAUGAUAGAUAAGUUGGCGAUCGGUGUGGCUAUAAAUCCCCUGCGACUACAGAAGAAUGAUACAACAAAAUAAUGCUCUUGUGAGAGGCAGUUCUCCUUGGCAGACAUACAUAUAUAGCUCUUAAUUCGUGGCUCUGAAUAUUAUUAAAUCGUUCUUUUCGGACCCGACUCGACCCCUGUAAAAUGUAUAUGUAUUUAGACUGUAGUAAAAUGUGAAAUACACCUGAUGUCAAGUAAACAGUAGGGACCAGUACCAUAACUACAUAUGUAUGUAUUUGUAGAGAAUACCGGUAUGUCCGAAGUCAUUUAAGAUCAAUAUUUAUAUAACCUAUAACCUUAUAGCCAUACGAUAAGUACCUUAAUAUGUAAAUUUGAUUGUGAAUAUAAGAUUAAAGGUGAAAAGAAAAGGCUAUACAUACAAAACAGU
Molecule: long non-coding RNA, 8072 nt
Organism: Drosophila miranda
Lineage: Eukaryota; Metazoa; Arthropoda; Insecta; Diptera; Drosophilidae
Exons: 6
Source: RefSeq, a predicted model, not a curated record